This 253-nucleotide unclassified non-coding RNA is filed under the name uncultured Gammaproteobacteria bacterium. RNAcentral's name for it is "contains 16S-23S intergenic spacer region". It matches the Rfam family "Bacterial small subunit ribosomal RNA", at positions 524 to 776 of the family's 1533-position model. Lineage: Bacteria; Pseudomonadati; Pseudomonadota; Gammaproteobacteria. The record is from RNAcentral.
UACGGAGGGUGCAAACGUUGCUCGGAAUAAUUGGGCGUAAAGGGUGCGUAGGCGGUUAUUUAUGUCUUAUGUGAAAGUCAAUGGCUUAACCAUUGAAAGCCAUAAGAAACUGGGUAACUAGAGUACUGUAGAGGGCAGUGGAAUUUCUGGUGUAGCGGUGAAAUGCGUAGAUAUCAGAAGGAACAUCAGUGGCGAAGGCGACUGCCUGGACAGAUACUGACGCUGAGGCACGAAAGCGUGGGUAGCGAACAGG